UACGGAAGGCAGCAGUGGGGAAUAUUGCACAAUGGGCGCAAGCCUGAUGCAGCCAUGCCGCGUGUAUGAAGAAGGCCUUCGGGUUGUAAAGUACUUUCAGUCGUGAGGAAGGUGUUAAGGUUAAUAACCUUAGCAAUUGACGUUAGCGACAGAAGAAGCACCGGCUAACUCCGUGCCAGCAGCCGCGGUAAUACGGAGGGUGCGAGCGUUAAUCGGAAUUACUGGGCGUAAAGGGCACGCAGGCGGUUAAUUAAGUUGGAUGUGAAAUCCCCGGGCUUAACCUGGGAAUGGCAUUCAAGACUAGGUUGCUAGAGUCUUGUAGAGGGGGUAGAAUUCCAUGUGUAGCGGUGAAAUGCGUAGAGAUGUGGAGGAAUACCGGGUGGCGAAAGGCGGCCCCUGGGACAAAGACUGACGCUCAUGUGCGAAAAGCGUGGGGAGCAAACAGGGAUUAGAUACC
This 457-nucleotide ribosomal RNA is filed under the name uncultured bacterium. Its description in RNAcentral is "bacterial SSU rRNA". It matches the Rfam family "Bacterial small subunit ribosomal RNA", at positions 340 to 786 of the family's 1533-position model. The record is from RNAcentral.